UACGGAGGGUGCGAGCGUUGUUCGGAAUUACUGGGCGUAAAGAGCUCGUAGGCGGGUCUGUAAGUUAGCUGUGAAAUCCCCGGGCUUAACCUGGGAAUGGCAGUUAAAACUGCAAACCUUGAAUGCAUGAGAGGAUAGUGGAAUUCCCGGUGUAGAAGUGAAAUUCGUAGAUAUCGGGAGGAACACCAGAGGCGAAGGCGGCUAUCUGGCGCUGCAUUGACGCUGAGGAGCGAAAGCGUGGGGAGCAAACAGG
Molecule: ribosomal RNA, 253 nt
Filed under: uncultured bacterium
Lineage: Bacteria
Description: partial 16S ribosomal RNA
Rfam family: Bacterial small subunit ribosomal RNA
Source: RNAcentral